This 106-nucleotide transfer RNA is filed under the name Candidatus Woesearchaeota archaeon. RNAcentral describes it as "tRNA-Ile". It matches the Rfam family "tRNA". From Rfam's summary of the family: Transfer RNA (tRNA) molecules are approximately 80 nucleotides in length. Their secondary structure includes four short double-helical elements and three loops (D, anti-codon, and T loops). Further hydrogen bonds mediate the characteristic L-shaped molecular structure. tRNAs have two regions of fundamental functional importance: the anti-codon, which is responsible for specific mRNA codon recognition, and the 3' end, to which the tRNAs corresponding amino acid is attached (by aminoacyl-tRNA synthetases). tRNAs cope with the degeneracy of the genetic code in two manners: having more than one tRNA (with a specific anti-codon) for a particular amino acid; and 'wobble' base-pairing, i.e. permitting non-standard base-pairing at the 3rd anti-codon position. Lineage: Archaea; Nanobdellati; Candidatus Woesearchaeota. The record is from RNAcentral.
GGGCCCAUGGUCUAGUGGCUACGCAAAAAUGACAUGACCAUUUUUGGUCGUGGCUUUGCGCCACAUAUGAUGGCGAGGAUCGCCGGUUCAAGUCCGGCUGGGCCCA